AGAGUUUGAUCCUGGCUCAGGAUGAACGCUGGCGGUCUGCUUAACACAUGCAAGUCGAACGAAUCCUUUCGGGGAUGAGUGGCGGACGGGUGAGUAACGCGUGAGAAUCUGCCAAAAGGACUGGGACAACCACUGGAAACGGUGGCUAAUACCAGAUGUGCCGCAACGUAAAAGAGGAAACUCGCCUUUUGAGGAGCUCGCGUCUGAUUAGCUAGUUGGUGAGGUAAAAGCUCACCAAGGCAACGAUCAGUAGCUGGUCUGAGAGGACGACCAGCCACACUGGGACUGAGACACGGCCCAGACUCCUACGGGAGGCAGCAGUGGGGAAUUUUCCGCAAUGGGCGAAAGCCUGACGGAGCAAGACCGCGUGAGGGAGGAAGGCUCUUGGGUCGUAAACCUCUUUUGUCAGGGAAGAACACAAUGACGGUACCUGACGAAUCAGCAUCGGCUAACUCCGUGCCAGCAGCCGCGGUAAUACGGAGGAUGCAAGCGUUAUCCGGAAUUAUUGGGCGUAAAGCGUCCGUAGAUGGUUUUGCCAGUCGGCUGUCAAAGCACAGGGCUUAACCCUGUAAAGGCAGUGGAAACUACAAGACUAGAGUGCAGUAGGGGCAGAGGGAAUUCCCAGUGUAGCGGUGAAAUGCGUAGAGAUUGGGAAGAACACCCGUGGCGAAAGCGCUCUGCUGGACUGCCACUGACAUUGAGGGACGAAAGCUAGGGGAGCGAAUGGGAUUAGAUACCCUAGUAGUCC
RNAcentral lists this ribosomal RNA (748 nucleotides) under uncultured bacterium. Its description in RNAcentral is "bacterial SSU rRNA". It matches the Rfam family "Bacterial small subunit ribosomal RNA", at positions 8 to 796 of the family's 1533-position model. The record is from RNAcentral.